This 67-nucleotide transfer RNA is filed under the name Apocheima cinerarius. RNAcentral's name for it is "tRNA-Phe". Lineage: Eukaryota; Metazoa; Arthropoda; Insecta; Lepidoptera; Geometridae. The record is from RNAcentral.
UUGAUAUCUUCAAUAUCAUACUCUAUCGUAUAAGCUAUUUAAAUAAAUUAAUAAUAUAAAUAAAAAA